This 58-nucleotide non-coding RNA is filed under the name Helianthus annuus (common sunflower). Lineage: Eukaryota; Viridiplantae; Streptophyta; Magnoliopsida; Asterales; Asteraceae. The record is from RNAcentral. RNAcentral also lists the same sequence under 1 other name.
UAUUGGUCGAGAGUUGUUGCCGCUUUCCUCAUGAGUCCAAGACAAAAUGAAACCAGUG